AAAUAACUUCCCACAGGUAGCUAUGUCUUUGAAGAUGAGAGCUUUUUGGGUGUUACUGGUCUCUUGCUCUGCCAUAAAUGGCUGUGAAUGGUAAUUGCAUCAACGCUUGCAGAGAGUGUCUUUGCAGUUUCAGGGCAGUAUGUAUAUAAAGAUCGGAACUGGCAGCCGGAGUCCCGGAAGAGGAUUAGGAAGUUGUUGGCAUCUGAUUUCUCCAUUUCCUUCAGGGAAUAAAGAAGAAAAGUACAAGAUAGUUACACUCUCUUUGCUUAAUGCUGUACCCCCCUCAAGAUUUGAGUCCGAUAGCCACUCCAACUGGGAAUUCUAGGUGUUAAAACUUUCGACAAUUCUGGAAUAUUAAUCAAUGGCAUCAAGAUGGAUUUACAGGUAGUUCUUGAUUUAUGAUCGCAAUUGGGACAGGAACAUCUGUUACCAAGCAAUGUGGUUGGUGAAUUGUGCCCGAAUUUACGACCUUUUUUGCUGUGGUUGUAAGUGAAUCACAUGAUUGUUAAGCAAAUCUGGCUUCCCCUGUUGACUUUGCUUGUUGGGAGCCCCCUGGAAAAAUCAUAAAUGAUGAUCAAGUGACCCCAGAAUACUGCAAGCAAACAUGCUGGUUGCCAAAUGCCUAAUUUUGAUCAAGUGACUACAGUGAUGCUAUGAUGGUUGUAAAUGUAAGGAGUGGCUGUAAAUCAUUUUUUUCAGCACUACUG
Long non-coding RNA from Protobothrops mucrosquamatus (brown spotted pit viper), 707 nucleotides. RefSeq lists it as uncharacterized. The record is from RefSeq and is a predicted model, not a curated record. Lineage: Eukaryota; Metazoa; Chordata; Lepidosauria; Squamata; Viperidae. The transcript has 3 exons.